GGGUUGUGAGGUUAAGCGACUAAGCGUACACGGUGGAUGCCCUGGCAGUCAGAGGCGAUGAAGGACGUGCUAAUCUGCGAAAAGCGUCGGUAAGGUGAUAUGAACCGUUAUAGCCGGCGAUGUCCGAAUGGGGAAACCCAGUGCAAUUCGUUGCACUAUCGUUAACUGAAUACAUAGGUUAACGAGGCGAACCGGGGGAACUGAAACAUCUAAGUACCCCGAGGAAAAGAAAUCAACCGAGAUUCCCCCAGUAGCGGCGAGCGAACGGGGAGCAGCCCAGAGUCUGAAUCAGCUUGUGUGUUAGUGGAACGGUCUGGAAAGUCCGACGGUACAGGGUGAUAGUCCCGUACACCAAAAUGCACAGGUUGUGAACUCGAAGAGUAGGGCGGGACACGUGGUAUCCUGUCUGAAUAUGGGGGGACCAUCCUCCAAGGCUAAAUACUCCUGACUGACCGAUAGUGAACCAGUACCGUGAGGGAAAGGCGAAAAGAACCCCGGCGAGGGGAGUGAAAAAGAACCUGAAACCGUGUACGUACAAGCAGUGGGAGCACCUUCGGGUGUGACUGCGUACCUUUUGUAUAAUGGGUCAGCGACUUAUAUUCUGUAGCAAGGUUAACCGUAUAGGGGAGCCGCAGGGAAACCGAGUCUUAACUGGGCGUUAAGUUGCAGGGUAUAGACCCGAAACCCGGUGAUCUAGCCAUGGGCAGGUUGAAGGUUGGGUAACACUAACUGGAGGACCGAACCGACUAAUGUUGAAAAAUUAGCGGAUGACUUGUGGCUGGGGGUGAAAGGCCAAUCAAACCGGGAGAUAGCUGGUUCUCCCCGAAAGCUAUUUAGGUAGCGCCUCGUGAACUCAUCUUCGGGGGUAGAGCACUGUUUCGGCUAGGGGGUCAUCCCGACUUACCAACCCGAUGCAAACUACGAAUACCGAAGAAUGUUAUCACGGGAGACACACGGCGGGUGCUAACGUCCGUCGUGAAGAGGGAAACAACCCAGACCGCCAGCUAAGGUCCCAAAGUCAUGGUUAAGUGGGAAACGAUGUGGGAAGGCACAGACAGCCAGGAUGUUGGCUUAGAAGCAGCCAUCAUUUAAAGAAAGCGUAAUAGCUCACUGGUCGAGUCGGCCUGCGCGGAAGAUGUAACGGGGCUAAACCAUGCACCGAAGCUGCGGCAGCGACACUAUGUGUUGUUGGGUAGGGGAGCGUUCUGUAAGCCUGCGAAGGUGACCUGUGAGGGUUGCUGGAGGUAUCAGAAGUGCGAAUGCUGACAUAAGUAACGAUAAAGCGGGUGAAAAGCCCGCUCGCCGGAAGACCAAGGGUUCCUGUCCAACGUUAAUCGGGGCAGGGUGAGUCGACCCCUAAGGCGAGGCCGAAAGGCGUAGUCGAUGGGAAACAGGUUAAUAUUCCUGUACUUGGUGUUACUGCGAAGGGGGGACGGAGAAGGCUAUGUUAGCCGGGCGACGGUUGUCCCGGUUUAAGCAUGUAGGCUGGUUGUCCAGGCAAAUCCGGAUAAUCAAGGCUGAGGUGUGAUGACGAGGCACUACGGUGCUGAAGUAACAAAUGCCCUGCUUCCAGGAAAAGCCUCUAAGCAUCAGGUAACAUCAAAUCGUACCCCAAACCGACACAGGUGGUCAGGUAGAGAAUACCAAGGCGCUUGAGAGAACUCGGGUGAAGGAACUAGGCAAAAUGGUGCCGUAACUUCGGGAGAAGGCACGCUGGUGUGUAGGUGAAGUCCCUGCGGAUGGAGCUGAGACCAGUCGAAGAUACCAGCUGGCUGCAACUGUUUAUUAAAAACACAGCACUGUGCAAACACGAAAGUGGACGUAUACGGUGUGACGCCUGCCCGGUGCCGGAAGGUUAAUUGAUGGGGUUAUCCGUAAGGAGAAGCUCUUGAUCGAAGCCCCGGUAAACGGCGGCCGUAACUAUAACGGUCCUAAGGUAGCGAAAUUCCUUGUCGGGUAAGUUCCGACCUGCACGAAUGGCGUAAUGAUGGCCAGGCUGUCUCCACCCGAGACUCAGUGAAAUUGAACUCGCUGUGAAGAUGCAGUGUACCCGCGGCAAGACGGAAAGACCCCGUGAACCUUUACUAUAGCUUGACACUGAACAUUGAGCCUUGAUGUGUAGGAUAGGUGGGAGGCUUUGAAGCGUGGACGCCAGUCUGCGUGGAGCCAACCUUGAAAUACCACCCUUUAAUGUUUGAUGUUCUAACGUUGGCCCCUGACCGGGGUUGCGGACAGUGUCUGGUGGGUAGUUUGACUGGGGCGGUCUCCUCCCAAAGCGUAACGGAGGAGCACGAAGGUUAGCUAAUCCUGGUCGGACAUCAGGAGGUUAGUGCAAUGGCAUAAGCUAGCUUGACUGCGAGCGUGACGGCGCGAGCAGGUGCGAAAGCAGGUCAUAGUGAUCCGGUGGUUCUGAAUGGAAGGGCCAUCGCUCAACGGAUAAAAGGUACUCCGGGGAUAACAGGCUGAUACCGCCCAAGAGUUCAUAUCGACGGCGGUGUUUGGCACCUCGAUGUCGGCUCAUCACAUCCUGGGGCUGAAGUAGGUCCCAAGGGUAUGGCUGUUCGCCAUUUAAAGUGGUACGCGAGCUGGGUUUAGAACGUCGUGAGACAGUUCGGUCCCUAUCUGCCGUGGGCGCUGGAGAAUUGAGGGGGGCUGCUCCUAGUACGAGAGGACCGGAGUGGACGCAUCACUGGUGUUCGGGUUGUCAUGCCAAUGGCACUGCCCGGUAGCUAAAUGCGGAAGAGAUAAGUGCUGAAAGCAUCUAAGCACGAAACUUGCCCCGAGAUGAGUUCUCCCUGAGACUUUAAGUCUCCUGAAGGAACGUUAAAGACGAUGACGUUGAUAGGCCGGGUGUGUAAGCGCAGCGAUGCGUUGAGCUAACCGGUACUAAUGAACCGUGAGGCUUAACCUUACAACGCCGAAG
RNAcentral lists this ribosomal RNA (2923 nucleotides) under Klebsiella pneumoniae. RNAcentral's name for it is "23S ribosomal RNA". It matches the Rfam family "Bacterial large subunit ribosomal RNA". Lineage: Bacteria; Pseudomonadati; Pseudomonadota; Gammaproteobacteria; Enterobacterales; Enterobacteriaceae. The record is from RNAcentral.